GAUGAACGCUGGCGGCGUGCCUAAUACAUGCAAGUCGAGCGAACGGACGAUAAGCUUUCUUCUCUGAUGUUAGCGGCUGACGGGUGAGUAACACGUGGAUAACCUACCUAUAAUACUGGGAUAACUUCGGGAAACCGGAGCUAAUACCGGAUAAUAUUUUGAACCGCAUGGUUCAAAAGUGAUAGACGGUCUUGCUGUCUCUUAUAGAUGGAUCCGCGCUGCAUUAGCUAGUUGGUAAGGUAACGGCUUACCAAGGCAACGAUGCAUAGCCGACCUGAGAGGAUGAUCGGCCACACUGGAACUGAGACACGGUCCAGACUCCUACGGGAGGCAGCAGUAGGGAAUCUUCCGCAAUGGGCGCAAGCCUGACGGAGCAACACCGCGUGAGUGAUGAAGGUCUUCGGAUCGUAAAACUCUGUUAUUAGGGAAGAAAAUAUGUGUAAGAAAAUGUGCACAUCUUGACGGUACCUAAUCAGAAAGCCACGGCUAACUUCGUG
RNAcentral lists this ribosomal RNA (497 nucleotides) under uncultured bacterium. RNAcentral describes it as "partial 16S ribosomal RNA". It matches the Rfam family "Bacterial small subunit ribosomal RNA", at positions 28 to 507 of the family's 1533-position model. The record is from RNAcentral.